CCCCCCUCUGUUCUGUGACAGGUGCCCACAGACCGAGCUGCUCCUGCACCGCCAACUGCUGCUGAUGACACUCUGUUUCUUGGUGUUGUCCCUUCCCCCGAUGCUGACCUCACUAGCAUGGCAUCACCUCAGAGCCAUGACGCUGGCAAUUGCUCUGACCUCAUGGAGGAGACGAAGACUUUCUCGUCAACUGAGAGUCUGCGACAACUUUCUCAACAGCUCAAUGGUCUUGUGUCUGAGUCUACCUCCUACAUCAACGGGGAGGGCCUCACAUCUUCCAACAUGAAGGCCUGGA
Peromyscus californicus insignis is the source of this 295-nucleotide long non-coding RNA. RefSeq lists it as uncharacterized. The transcript is spliced from 4 exons. The record is from RefSeq and is a predicted model, not a curated record. NCBI's taxonomy places the organism in Eukaryota, Metazoa, Chordata, Mammalia, Rodentia, Cricetidae.